Molecule: long non-coding RNA, 476 nt
Filed under: Capra hircus (goat)
Lineage: Eukaryota; Metazoa; Chordata; Mammalia; Artiodactyla; Bovidae
Description: lncRNA (ENSCHIG00000000768.1)
Source: RNAcentral
ACACCCCUGACUUGGAGUUUGAUAAGGGUAUGCAUUUCUCUCCUUCCAGCUCCGAUGGGGUGUUUAAGAAUGCUGUUGAUCCACAAGACAGCAAGAUUCUUCAGUGUUGUUGGCCCCUAUCUCACCCUUGGCCUGCCCUCACCUCAUCUCUCACCCCUCCAAAUCAAGGCAUGUCUACAUUGAGAGCAAGAGAAGCACUUGACCAUUUGAUCAGGAAUAGGAAAGAAGAUGGAGGACGACUGGAAGGAAACGUGCUCAAAAUAUGACAUGAGCAGCUCAUCUCUUAAAGAAAACACACUGCUAAUGACUAUCUCACAGCACUGGUGAGCACUGAGAUACUGUCUUAAAUGCUCUAAGUUUUUUUCUUUAUAAUUUCUAAAAUAGAAAUAGCUUAUUUUACUUGAUAUAAAAGAUACUUGCCAUUAUAAUUUUGAUGUAUAUUUUUAAAGACUUUCUAUGCCUAAAGAGAAAAAAUU